Molecule: microRNA precursor, 96 nt
Organism: Nicotiana attenuata
Lineage: Eukaryota; Viridiplantae; Streptophyta; Magnoliopsida; Solanales; Solanaceae
Rfam family: MIR6152 microRNA precursor family
Source: Rfam
UGGACAGAUUAUUGUAUUCGACUUUAUUCACAGCGUGAAACUAGGGAUUACACUGUUUUUAAACGAAAAGUGAAUCAAUUAACAUAAUAUACUCCU